UCAACUGUGGAGGGUCAUNGGAAACUGUUGAACUUGAGUGCAGGAGAGAAAAGUGGAAUUCNUAGUGUAGCGGUGAAAUGCGUAGAGAUUAGGGGGAACACCAGUGGCGAAGGCGGCUUUUUGGCCUGUAACUGACACUGAGGCGCGAAAGCGUGGGGAGCAAACAGGAUUAGAUACCCUGGUAGUNCACGCCGUAAACGAUGAGUGCUAAGUGUUGGUCUCAUAAGAGAUCAGUGCUGCAGCUAACGCAUUAAGCACUCCGCCUGGGGAGUACGACCGCAAGGUUGAGACUCAAAGGAAUUGACGGGGACCCGCACAAGCGGUGGAGCAUGUGGUUUAAUUNGAAGCAACGCGAAGAACCUUACCAAGUCUUGACAUACUGUGAGGACACAAGAGAUUGUGUUGUUCUGACCUUUGGUUAGACACAGAUACAGGUGGUGCAUGGUUGUCGUCAGCUUGUGUCGUGAGAUGUUGGGUUAAGUCCCGCAACGAGCGCAACCCUUAUAUCUAGUUGCCAGCAGUAAGAUGGGGACUCUAGAUAGACUGCCAGUGAUAAACUGGAGGAAGGUGGGGAUGACGUCAAGUCAUCAUGCCCCUUAUGACUUGGGCUACACACGUGCUACAAUGGAUAGGAACAAAGAGAAGCAAGCUCGCGAGAGUAAGCAAACCUCACAAAACUAUUCUCAGUUCGGAUUGUAGUCUGCAACUCGACUACAUGAAGCUGGAAUCGCUAGUAAUCGCGAAUCAGAAUGUCGCGGUGAAUACGUUCCCGGGUCUUGUACACACCGCCCGUCACACCACGAGAGUUUGUAACACCCGAA
RNAcentral lists this ribosomal RNA (821 nucleotides) under uncultured bacterium. RNAcentral describes it as "bacterial SSU rRNA". It matches the Rfam family "Bacterial small subunit ribosomal RNA", at positions 609 to 1425 of the family's 1533-position model. The record is from RNAcentral.